UGGGGAAUAUUGCACAAUGGGCGCAAGCCUGAUGCAGCCAUGCCGCGUGUAUGAAGAAGGCCUUCGGGUUGUAAAGUACUUUCAGCGGGGAGGAAGUGAGUAAAGUUAAUACCUUUGCUCAUUGACGCUACCCGCAGAAGACGCACCGGCUAACUCCGUGCCAGCAGCCGCGGUAAUACGGUGGGUGCAAGCGUUAAUCGGAAUUACUGGGCGUAAAGCGCACGCAUGCGGUUUGUUAAGUCAGAUGUGAAAUCCCCGGGCUCAACCUGGGAACUGCAUCUGAUGCUGGCAAGCUUGAGUCUCGUAGAGGGGUGUAGAAUUCCAGGUGUAGCGGGGAAAUGCGUAGAGAUCUGGAGGAAUAACGGUGGCGAAGGCGGCCCCCUGGACGAAGACUGACGCUCAGGUGCGAAAGCGUGGGGAGCAAACAGG
This 429-nucleotide ribosomal RNA is filed under the name Chloroflexota bacterium. Its description in RNAcentral is "Chloroflexi bacterium partial 16S ribosomal RNA". It matches the Rfam family "Bacterial small subunit ribosomal RNA", at positions 355 to 776 of the family's 1533-position model. The record is from RNAcentral. Lineage: Bacteria; Bacillati; Chloroflexota.